CACGUUUUACUGUGUGUUAGGCCGUCUGACGACUCUGUAUACACGUUUUACUGUGUAUCUGUGUAUCUGAUGACUCUGUAUACACGUUUUACUCUGUGUUAGGCUGUCUGAUGACUGUAUACAAAUUUCACAGUGUUGACAACUCUAAAGAUAUUCUACUGCAUGUCUGGUGACUAUGAUACACAUAGCUUUCUGUGUUUUCAAUGACUUGUUAUUCAAAUUUUUAAUAAUGUUGCCCUCAUAUGUUCUUCUACACAUUGAACAUGCAUAUUCUAUAUGGAAAUGCAUGUAGUGUAAUAACAAUACUCUGACAAAAACAAGGUAAACACUUCGGGAAGACAACACCAUGUUAUAUAUGGUGUAUUUUAUUACGAUGAUUUAAAUCAAAAUACUGUUACCACCUUAUAAUACUGCUAUAUAGUGCUCAUUUAACAGCGGUGGGCAAGGUGUUAAAAAGGCUGUUACCUGUCUUGAUUGUUUCCCAUAUUCAAGGACGACACAUCUUGAACAAUUUACACAAUGAAUGUUAGUGAGUGAGAGUGUUUAUUUGGAAGCUGACACGUUAAGACCAAUGGUAUAUUACUGUACCAAUUGUAUAGCCUGUUAUUGUUCAUCAAUGUCAUCCAAUUCUGCUUGUUUGUCAAAAUUUAGUGCUAAGCGACUGAUUACAUCACAAGUGUGAUCUUUUUAAUGAAUACAUCACAAGCGUGAUCGUUCUUAUGAAUACAUCACAAGCGUGAUCGUUCUAAUGAAUACAUCACAAGCGUGAUCGUUCUAAUGAAUACAUCACAAGCGUGAUCGUUCUAAUGAAUACAUCACAAGCGUGAUCGUUCUAAUGAAUACAUCACAAGCGUGAUCGUUCUAAUGAAUACAUCACAAGCGUGAUCGUUCUAAUGAAUACAUCACAAGCGUGAUCGUUCUAAUGAAUACAUCACAAGCGUGAUCUUUCUAAUGUAUACAUCACAAGUGUGAUCUUUCUAAUGAAUACAUCACAAGCGUGAUCUUUCCAAUGAAUCAUAUUAUGUAUGUUUGAAUAGAAAUGUAAAUGAAAAAUUCUCAAUGGUGCGUCAGAUUUUGAACAGACAUUUGAAGACUAAAUUACAGACGCACAAUUAAAUAAGACUGCUACCUGAUCAGACUAGGUCUAGAUGUGUUAGGAACUGGUUUAUUACCCGUGGUAGGUUUCCUCUCAUUGGUGUGUCUGUAACCCAUACUAUGGUGGGUUAUAACAUCAGUAGGGCGAUACUCAUUGUACACAUGUUGAGUUAUCUCCCUUUAUCUGUUAAUCAUCAGAUGUUAUUUAUAUCCCUGUUGUUUACAUUCGGACUAGUAUAAUGAGAAACCAACUCAAAACUUUAUAUCUGAAGUGACAUAUUGGUAAAAAUUUGAAAAUGAAGAAAACUGAAUUUUUCAUAAUAAAAAAAAAUCAGCUGAAUAUGUAGUACAAAUGGUUAAUUUGAUAAUUAAAAAAAAAAAAAAAAAAAAAAAAAUAAUGGGAACAAUUAUGAUUUUCAGAGAUUUAAGCUCAUCAGUUAAUUUAAAAAUCAGGCCUAAAAGUGAUUGCAAUGCUUGUAUUUUGUCUUUCAAUCAACUAUGUCAUCCAGUAGUUGAGGGAGAUACUGUAUUGAGGAUAUGUACCACAAAUAACUGACAGGCUUUGUAUUGUACACAAAAAUACCAGUACAAAAUGUAUUAUCCUUCAGGAAAUUACCGGUACAUUGUAUAAUACAACAGUCUGCUGUUGUCAACCUAUGGGCUCUCUUAAUUUGUUUGAAAGAGAAGAUAUUGAGCAAAAGUUUUUAAUAUCAUUCAAAUACAGGAGGAUUCUGCAUGUACUUUACAGAUAUUGUCAAAACAGUACAUAGUUCAAAAGGUAUGAAGUUCAUUGAUAGCACAUUCAAAAUAUCUAGAAAUGUCAGUUGUAACAUUUGACAGUCUACUACAAAAUUUUGUGACUCGGAAAUGCUCAAUAUUUCAGACGUCGUUUUGAAUAUUGACUUCUGAUUGAAAUGAUAGAAACUAUAAAGAUAGAAACUAUAAAGAUAGAAACUAUAAAGAAAAGUUAUGGACACUAUCUGUUGAGAAUUAUGUUCUUAAUCUAAGACAAAUGUUCACAACAGAGCUGUGCUUGAUAGUUUCGUAAUAUUUCCCAAACUAAAAACUCAUUAUUUAUUUUUGUUUACGUAAAUAUGUAAAAUGUGAGGGUUAUGAUUUUAUAUCAAAUAAUUCAGUAUGGAUAUCUGAAAACAUUUAUUCUGCCAUAUUGUAUAUAUGCUGUAUUAGCAAUUCGAAGUUGACCUUUGACACUUACUAUCUACUUUUAAUAUUUACACAUUGAACCUUGUGUGACCUUGACACUUAUAUUUCUGUCUGUUAGUGAGGUACACCUCGGGUGAAUCUCCUGUCAAUAGUGAGGUACACCUCGGGUGAAUCUCCUGUCAUUAGUGAGGUACACCUCGGGUGAAUCUCCUGUCGUUAGUGAGGUAAACCUCGGGUGAAUCUCCUGUCAUCAGUGAGGUAACCUUGGGUGAAUCUCCUGUCGUUAGUGAGGUACACCUCGGGUGAAUCUCCUGUCGUUAGUGAGGUAAACCUCGGGUGAAUCUCCUGUUGUAGUGAGGUACACCUCGGGUGAAUCUCCUGUCGUUAGUGAGGUACACUUCGGGUGAAUCUCCUGUCAAUAGUGAGGUAAACCUCAGGUGAAUCUCCUGUCAUUAGUGAGGUAAACCUCGGGUGAAUCUCCUGUCUGUUAGUGAGGUAAACCUCGGGUGAAUCUCCUGUCGUAAGUGAGGUACACCUCGGGUGAAUCUCCUGUCGUUAGUGAGGUACACCUCGGGUGAAUCUCCUGUCGUAGGAGAGGUACACCUCGGGUGAAUCUCCUGUCAAUAGUGAGGUACACCUCGGGUGAACCUCCUGCUGUUUAGUGAGGCCCAACUCGGGUGAAUCUCCUGUUGUUAGUGAGGUACACCUCGGGUGAAUCUCCUGUCGUUAGUGAGGUAAACCUCGGGUGAAUCUCCUGUUGUAGUGAGGUACACCUCUGGUGAAUCAUCUGUCAAUAGUGAGGUAAACCUCGGGUGAAUCUCCUGUCAAUAGUGAGGUAAACCUCGGGUGAAUCUCCUGUUGUAGUGAGGUACACCUCGGGUGAAUCUCCUGUCAAUAGUGAGGUAAACCUCGGGUGAAUCUCCUGUCAAUAGUGAGGUAAACCUCGGGUGAAUCUCCUGUCGUUAGUGAGGUAAACCUCGGGUGAAUCUCCUGUCAAUAGUGAGGUAAACCUCGGGUGAAUCUCCUGUCGUCAGUGAGGUAAACCUCGGGUGAAUCUCCUGUUGUUAGUGAGGUACACCUCAGGUGAAUCUCCUGUCGUUAGUGAGGUAAACCUCGGGUGAAUCUCCUGCUGUUAGUGAGGUAAACCUCGGGUGAAUCUCCUGUUGUAGUGAGGUACACCUCGGGUGAAUCUCCUGUCAAUAGUGAGGUAAACCUCGGGUGAAUCUCCUGCUGUUAGUGAGGUAAACCUCAGGUGAAUCUCCUGUUGUAGUGAGGUACACCUCGGGUGAAUCUCCUGUCGUUAGUGAGGUAAACCUCGGGUGACACCCAUGUAUAUUAUCCUUGGUCUACAUAUACAAUGAGGUCAUACAGUUCGCAUGCCUGCCUGCCAGUGUUUGAUCAUCCUCAAGCAUUUUCAGCAGUUUUCUAGUGAUAAGAAGUACAGUGUUGAUGUAUGACUGUUACCAUGGUUACUUGAGUUGCUGACAAAAUCCCUCCAGUGUCACAGAUGGAAUUUUGCUCAAGGUCAAGUUUUAAUAGAGGGAUUAUGUAGUGUUCUAUUUAUAGGUUAGUCAUGUUUAUUUUCUAAUGAUUUUGUUUCCGUUGAUACUGGAUGAAGGUCGUUGGAGGUAGUAACUUAUUUAUAACUGUGUGAGUGGAGAUUGUUAUGUCACCGUUACCGUUUGUAAUUAUGCAUAGUGUAAUUGUUGGACCAAAGACCAGUGUGGAAGUCUGUGAGGAUGGAAUGGGUACAUGAGUGUAUCAUUAAAAUGCAAAUAUAAACAUUUUCCUUUCUCUACUGUGA
Pecten maximus is the source of this 4063-nucleotide long non-coding RNA. RefSeq lists it as uncharacterized. NCBI's taxonomy places the organism in Eukaryota, Metazoa, Mollusca, Bivalvia, Pectinida, Pectinidae. The record is from RefSeq and is a predicted model, not a curated record. The transcript is spliced from 2 exons.